This 551-nucleotide ribosomal RNA is filed under the name Bacillus aerius. RNAcentral's name for it is "bacterial SSU rRNA". It matches the Rfam family "Bacterial small subunit ribosomal RNA", at positions 164 to 701 of the family's 1533-position model. Lineage: Bacteria; Bacillati; Bacillota; Bacilli; Caryophanales; Bacillaceae. The record is from RNAcentral.
UAAUACCGGAUAGUUCCUUGAACCGCAUGGUUCAAGGAUGAAAGACGGUUUCGGCUGUCACUUACAGAUGGACCCGCGGCGCAUUAGCUAGUUGGUGAGGUAACGGCUCACCAAGGCGACGAUGCGUAGCCGACCUGAGAGGGUGAUCGGCCACACUGGGACUGAGACACGGCCCAGACUCCUACGGGAGGCAGCAGUAGGGAAUCUUCCGCAAUGGACGAAAGUCUGACGGAGCAACGCCGCGUGAGUGAUGAAGGUUUUCGGAUCGUAAAGCUCUGUUGUUAGGGAAGAACAAGUGCAAGAGUAACUGCUUGCACCUUGACGGUACCUAACCAGAAAGCCACGGCUAACUACGUGCCAGCAGCCGCGGUAAUACGUAGGUGGCAAGCGUUGUCCGGAAUUAUUGGGCGUAAAGGGCUCGCAGGCGGUUUCUUAAGUCUGAUGUGAAAGCCCCCGGCUCAACCGGGGAGGGUCAUUGGAAACUGGGAAACUUGAGUGCAGAAGAGGAGAGUGGAAUUCCACGUGUAGCGGUGAAAUGCGUAAAGAUGUGG